GCGCCUGUAGCUCAGCUGGAUAGAGCAACGGAUUUCUAAUCCGUCGGUCGGGCGUUCGAAUCGCCCCAGGCGUGCUA
Molecule: transfer RNA, 77 nt
Filed under: bacterium (Candidatus Ratteibacteria) CG_4_10_14_3_um_filter_41_18
Lineage: Bacteria; Candidatus Ratteibacteria
Also listed under: 4 other names
Description: tRNA-Arg
Rfam family: tRNA
About the family: Transfer RNA (tRNA) molecules are approximately 80 nucleotides in length. Their secondary structure includes four short double-helical elements and three loops (D, anti-codon, and T loops).
Source: RNAcentral